AACGAACGCUGGCGGCAGGCUUAACACAUGCAAGUCGAACGGGCGUAGCAAUACGUCAGUGGCAGACGGGUGAGUAACACGUGGGAACCUUCCUAGGGGUACGGAACAACUCAGGGAAACUUGAGCUAAUACCGUAUACGUCCGUGAGGAGAAAGAUUUAUCGCCCUUAGACGGGCCCGCGUCGGAUUAGCUAGUUGGUGGGGUAACGGCCUACCAAGGCGACGAUCCGUAGCUGAUCUUAGAGGAUGAUCAGCCACACUGGGACUGAGACACGGCCCAGACUCCUACGGGAGGCAGCAGUGGGGAAUUUUGGACAAUGGGGGCAACCCUGAUCCAGCCAUGCCGCGUGAGUGAAGAGGGCCUCGGUUGUAAGGACUCUUUCGGUCCGGGAAGAAAUACGUAUGGGCUAAUACCCUGUGCGGAUGACGGUACCGGCGAUAAGAAGACACCGGCUAACUACGUGCCAGCAGCCGCGGU
RNAcentral lists this ribosomal RNA (477 nucleotides) under uncultured bacterium. RNAcentral's name for it is "bacterial SSU rRNA". It matches the Rfam family "Bacterial small subunit ribosomal RNA", at positions 29 to 521 of the family's 1533-position model. The record is from RNAcentral.